GAAAAGGACAUCAAGAUUGCUGCCUCUGGAUAACAUACUAACAUUUGGUGGAGAUUGUUGCACUGUGAAUAUAGAGAACAGACAUCCUUAGUCAGCGUUUACACAUCAAACCCCUGCCCAUAGAAAAUGCUGUCAGCGCACAUCCACCUGUACCACGGAACUGGACAAUGAUUCCACAUUCAAAAUCUUCCAUUAGCCAUCCAGCUUAGACUGGGAAGCCAUGAACACAACACUCCAGGUAUAGAAUCCUCUAAUAUGGAAUCCUCUUCAAUACAUGCGGUCAUAGAAUCAUCUUACAGUAAAGGCCAACAUAUUCACAGUACCCAUGGGAUCCACGGUGACCACUAGGAUUCAGAACUGACUUGCCCAUAAAAGAUGGUGGGUCUUAUUCUACCUGGAAGUCCAUGACCAGUGGUGCUCCGCAGGGAUCCGCACUGGGACCUCUGCUGUUUGCAAUAAAUGUAAAAGGCCUGGAUGGAUGGGUUGUUCUGGCUGUUUGAACCUUGUUGAACAACUUCCCGUUUGGGACUUUAUUGAAAAUCUUCUGAAAAUCCAAAUCCAAGGAGAAUAACCUCAGCUGAGAGUCAGACGCUCAUGGAUUCAUCUGGCACAGAGAGAAGUCCCUUGGCCCACCAUGUCCAUGUCGAUCAUCAGUUGUGGCCAUGUGGACACUGAAAAAGCCAGAGGGGAGACGUAAGAUGGCACCGGAGCAUGGCGACUCGUUGCAAGCUGCUCUCUACAAAUCUACUCAUUACCCUUACUAUAAUCAUUCUGCACUUUUAAAUUUAAACUCUACCGGUACUACAUCAAUGCAUUUUGUACAACCCAAUGUAACUGCACUGUGUAAUGAAUUGACCUGUACAAUCAGUAUGCAAGACAAGUUUUUCACUGUACCUCGGUACAAGUGACAAUA
Molecule: long non-coding RNA, 913 nt
Organism: Pristis pectinata (smalltooth sawfish)
Lineage: Eukaryota; Metazoa; Chordata; Chondrichthyes; Rhinopristiformes; Pristidae
Exons: 5
Source: RefSeq, a predicted model, not a curated record